Molecule: ribosomal RNA, 253 nt
Filed under: uncultured bacterium
Lineage: Bacteria
Description: partial 16S ribosomal RNA
Rfam family: Bacterial small subunit ribosomal RNA
Source: RNAcentral
UACGAAGGGUGCAAGCGUUACUCGGAAUUACUGGGCGUAAAGCGUGCGUAGGUGGUUUGUUAAGUCUGAUGUGAAAGCCCUGGGCUCAACCUGGGAAUUGCAUUGGAUACUGGCAGGCUAGAGUGUGAUAGAGGAUGGUGGAAUUCCCGGUGUAGCGGUGAAAUGCGUAGAGAUCGGGAGGAACAUCAGUGGCGAAGGCGGCCGUCUGGAUCAACACUGACGCUGAGGCACGAAAGCGUGGGGAGCAAACAGG